Molecule: transfer-messenger RNA, 373 nt
Filed under: Bacteroidia
Lineage: Bacteria; Pseudomonadati; Bacteroidota
Also listed under: 2 other names
Description: 2-12-FULL-37-12 sp001769655 Standard tmRNA
Rfam family: transfer-messenger RNA
About the family: Bacterial tmRNA, also known as 10Sa RNA or SsrA, is named for its dual tRNA and mRNA-like properties.
Source: RNAcentral
GGGGCUGACCGGCUUUGACAGCAGGUAUAAAUAAGUGUAAGCAUGCAGGGUGUUACAGGAGAAUCACCCUUAAAUAACUCCUCCUGAAAUUUAAGCGACAACUACGCUUACAGAAUGGCGGCUUAAUUCUAGGAAUUAGCCAUUGCCAUUGUCCCUCAGAACCUAAUCUCUGUUGGUUUUGAAUCAGGGGCAUCGUAAAUCAGAGAACCUUCUGAAGUCCGUUGCGGCAGAUGAAAGGGAGUAAAUAGCAACUAAGGGACAGGCAGGUAGGUUUCUGACCAGCUUCUCCCCUACAAUUUACAGAAACCAAGCAUGUAGAAAGCGCUCUAUUUAUCUUGUUUGGACGAGGGUUCGAUUCCCUCCAGCUCCACGA